This 826-nucleotide ribosomal RNA is filed under the name Cladosporium xanthochromaticum. RNAcentral describes it as "LSU rRNA". It matches the Rfam family "Eukaryotic large subunit ribosomal RNA", at positions 77 to 930 of the family's 3401-position model. The record is from RNAcentral. Lineage: Eukaryota; Fungi; Ascomycota; Dothideomycetes; Cladosporiales; Cladosporiaceae.
GCUCUAGUAACGGCGAGUGAAGCAGCAAUAGCUCAAAUUUGAAAUCUGGCGUCUUCGGCGUCCGAGUUGUAAUUUGUAGAGGAUGCUUCUGAGUAACCACCGACCUAAGUUCCUUGGAACAGGACGUCAUAGAGGGUGAGAAUCCCGUAUGCGGUCGGAAAGGUGCUCUACACGUAGCUCCUUCGACGAGUCGAGUUGUUUGGGAAUGCAGCUCUAAAUGGGAGGUAAAUUUCUUCUAAAGCUAAAUAUUGGCCAGAGACCGAUAGCGCACAAGUAGAGUGAUCGAAAGAUGAAAAGCACUUUGGAAAGAGAGUUAAAAAGCACGUGAAAUUGUUAAAAGGGAAGGGAUUGCAACCAGACUUGCUCGCGGUGUUCCGCCGGUCUUCUGACCGGUCUACUCGCCGCGUUGCAGGCCAGCAUCGUCUGGUGCCGCUGGAUAAGACUUGAGGAAUGUAGCUCCCUCGGGAGUGUUAUAGCCUCUUGUGAUGCAGCGAGCGCCGGGCGAGGUCCGCGCUUCGGCUAGGAUGCUGGCGUAAUGGUUGUAAUCCGCCCGUCUUGAAACACGGACCAAGGAGUCUAACAUCUAUGCGAGUGUUCGGGUGUCAAACCCCUACGCGUAAUGAAAGUGAACGGAGGUGAGAACCGCAAGGUGCAUCAUCGACCGAUCCUGAUGUCUUCGGAUGGAUUUGAGUAUGAGCAUGGCUGUUGGGACCCGAAAGAUGGUGAACUAUGCCUGAAUAGGGUGAAGCCAGAGGAAACUCUGGUGGAGGCUCGCAGCGGUUCUGACGUGCAAAUCGAUCGUCAAAUUUGGGUAUAGGGCGAAAGA